GAUGAACGCUGGCGGCGUGCCUAAUACAUGCAAGUCGAGCGAACGGACGAGAAGCUUGCUUCUCUGAUGUUAGCGGCGGACGGGUGAGUAACACGUGGAUAACCUACCUAUAAGACUGGGAUAACUUCGGGAAACCGGAGCUAAUACCGGAUGAUAUUUUGAACCGCAUGGUUCAAAAGUGAAAGACGGUCUUGCUGUCACUUAUAGAUGGAUCCGCGCUGCAUUAGCUAGUUGGUAAGGUAACGGCUUACCAAGGCAACGAUGCAUAGCCGACCUGAGAGGGUGAUCGGCCACACUGGAACUGAGACACGGUCCAGACUCCUACGGGAGGCAGCAGUAGGGAAUCUUCCGCAAUGGGCGAAAGCCUGACGGAGCAACGCCGCGUGAGUGAUGAAGGUCUUCGGAUCGUAAAACUCUGUUAUUAGGGAAGAACAUAUGUGUAAGUAACUGUGCACAUCUUGACGGGACCUAAUCAGAAAGCCACGGCGAACUACGU
RNAcentral lists this ribosomal RNA (496 nucleotides) under uncultured bacterium. RNAcentral describes it as "partial 16S ribosomal RNA". It matches the Rfam family "Bacterial small subunit ribosomal RNA", at positions 28 to 506 of the family's 1533-position model. The record is from RNAcentral.